UACGAAGGGGGCUAGCGUUGCUCGGAUUGACUGGGCGUAAAGGGCGCGUAGGCGGGAUGGCAAGUCGGUCGUGAAAUCCCUCGGCUCAACCGAGGAACGUCGAUCGAUACUGCUGUUCUUGAGGAUUGCAGAGGAGACUGGAAUUCCCGGUGUAGCGGUGAAAUGUGUAGAGAUCGGGAGGAACACCGGUGGCGAAGGCGGGUCUCUGGGCAAUUCCUGACGCUGAGGCGCGAAAGCGUGGGGAGCAAACGGG
This 253-nucleotide ribosomal RNA is filed under the name uncultured bacterium. RNAcentral's name for it is "partial 16S ribosomal RNA". It matches the Rfam family "Bacterial small subunit ribosomal RNA", at positions 524 to 776 of the family's 1533-position model. The record is from RNAcentral.